RNAcentral lists this ribosomal RNA (249 nucleotides) under uncultured Actinomycetales bacterium. RNAcentral's name for it is "partial 16S ribosomal RNA". It matches the Rfam family "Bacterial small subunit ribosomal RNA", at positions 84 to 334 of the family's 1533-position model. Lineage: Bacteria; Bacillati; Actinomycetota; Actinomycetes; Actinomycetales. The record is from RNAcentral.
GGGGUGCUCGAGUGGCGAACGGGUGAGUAACACGUGAGUAACCUGCCCUUGACUUUGGGAUAACUUCAGGAAACUGGGGCUAAUACCGGAUAGGAGCUCCUGCUGCAUGGUGGGGGUUGGAAAGUUUCGGCGGUUGGGGAUGGACUCGCGGCUUAUCAGCUUGUUGGUGGGGUAGUGGCUUACCAAGGCUUUGACGGGUAGCCGGCCUGAGAGGGUGACCGGCCACAUUGGGACUGAGAUACGGCCCAA